CCUACGGGAGGCAGCAGUGGGGAAUAUUGCACAAUGGGGGAAACCCUGAUGCAGCGACGUCGCGUGAGUGAAGACGUAUUUCUGUGCUUUAAGCUCUAUCAGCAUGGAAGAAAAUUACAGUACCUGAAUAAGUAGCCACGGCUAACUUCGUGCCAGCAGCCGCGGUAAUACGUAGGGGGCAAGCGUUAUCCGGAUUUACUGGGUGUAAAGGGGGCGUAGACGGGAGGGGAAGUCGGUAGUGAAAUUUCAUGGCUUAACCAUGGAACUGCAUUGGAAACUGGGCAGCUAGAGUGCAGGAGAGGUAAGCGGAAUUCGUGGUGUAGCGGUGAAAUGCUUAGAUAUUAGGAGGAACACCAGUGGCGAAGGCAGCCUACUGGACUGUAACUGACGUUGAGGCUCGAAAGCGUGGGGAGCAAACAGGAUUAGAUACCCCAGUAGUC
This 440-nucleotide ribosomal RNA is filed under the name uncultured bacterium. RNAcentral's name for it is "partial 16S ribosomal RNA". It matches the Rfam family "Bacterial small subunit ribosomal RNA", at positions 338 to 795 of the family's 1533-position model. The record is from RNAcentral.